AUGGUUUCUAGUGGUGAACCCGGCUGCGCACGGCAGCCCUCUCACUUCCGACGCAUAAACGACCGCCAUGGCGGCGGUGAGUUGUAGAGUUGUACUUCAGGUGAAGUCCGGCCAGUCUCCGGCGAAGAUCCGAUCGGGUAUGGAGCUCAUGGCUUGUAUUGGCGGCUAGCGUUCCAGUUUAGGGGUUUUGAAACCAGAUCGUGUUUGGAGACAACCUUCACGAUGUGUUAGUGUUUUGUGCAUAGGGACUUCCAGUUUCACAACCCAAAAUAACCCUAAACGUCGUGAGCGAACCGACCACCAUCGUCCUCCUCUUACGGUUCAUCUUCUUCGUCUUUCCACGACUAUGAGAUACUAUAGUUGGAGAACUUUCGGCCGACAAAGUCAAAUACAAACUCAAAUACAUCGUCGGAAACGCUAAUGUAGUCUACAGGCUCAAAGUAAUCGCACGUGAUAAUAACAUGCCAACAUCUUAGUUGUAAGUGCUCAACCCUAAUUUUAUGCUCAAAUACAACAAAAUGAUUGAUCCCUUGCAGACAACAAGAGGCGAUGAGCAGUCUUGCAUAUCCCGUGUUUUCUACAACUUUACAAGAAGCAAGAAAAUGGCGAAGGCUCGAUCAAGAGUAAUGGAUAAACGAAAGAAGGGUGCUGCAUGUGAAAGCACAUUUGGCUUUAGAAAGCGCGCCUGAGGCGCGCCAUCAGUUUGAGCUACAUUACAUGAUUUGGUAUUGUGGAAGUCGAGCUUCGCAAAUCAAAGAGAUGUGGGCUAAAGGAUAAAUGUCUUGAUGAUAUACUGUUAUACUUGCACCAAUCUUGAAGGUUGUUUUAAGUUGUGAAUCAUUUAUUAAUGGAUUGUACAAAUGACGAGCAGACAUACUUAUUGUAUUAUAUGCAUGUUUGCGGAGUCUUGACUGCUGCUCCAUUCCAUGCAAGCCCACCACUCUACUCAUGAGAGAUGGGUUCACUUUACUGUCACUGGUGGUUAGCGGGUUGACACAACAAGGAAGCCUUGAUGCUUGGGUAUGGUUAGAUAUUUAGAUUAGAGCAGUUUAUGUAGUGGUAAGUUGGAUUAGAGGAGGCAGUUUUUUUUUGUUUAAAAUAGCAGAGGUUAGAGAGCAAUUUAUUUUAUUUAUUAUGACAGACAUCUGUUAAUUUUGAUUUUUGUUUAUGACUUUGUAUAAUAAACCAAAUCACAAUAGAGUCACUUACGCAUACGCCGAUUUUGAAUUUUGUUAGUCAUUUUAUAACAAAACAAAUUGCAAGCGAGUUACUUAAGUUU
RNAcentral lists this long non-coding RNA (1279 nucleotides) under Helianthus annuus (common sunflower). Lineage: Eukaryota; Viridiplantae; Streptophyta; Magnoliopsida; Asterales; Asteraceae. The record is from RNAcentral.